RNAcentral lists this unclassified non-coding RNA (337 nucleotides) under uncultured bacterium. RNAcentral describes it as "contains 16S-23S intergenic spacer region". The record is from RNAcentral.
CUUUACGAAUUUUUAGAGCAUGGAAAGCCUCGUGGGUUACAAUAAUGUUGUCCUAAAUGAGCCUGCCUGCCACAAAAGGCCGACUGAUUUGGUGAGACCACUUCACUUAGAACCCCCUUUAGCCGAUUGGCAAGAAUCUUGGUGAUCACCUUUAUAAUGAAAUUCCAAAGGCUAAUUCGACUAAACUGUGAGAGUGUUUCCGGUGCUGGAACCUUGGGGAUGAGAACCAAAUUCGUAUGAUUCAUCUCCUUCAACAAAAAACCCCCCCGAAAGAAACUUUUCACCGCCGCGCAUAGAAAUGGUCCUACAAUAUCCCAAUGCCGAUGAUAGAAGUACC